RNAcentral lists this ribosomal RNA (253 nucleotides) under uncultured bacterium. RNAcentral describes it as "partial 16S ribosomal RNA". It matches the Rfam family "Bacterial small subunit ribosomal RNA", at positions 524 to 776 of the family's 1533-position model. The record is from RNAcentral.
UACGUAGGUGGCAAGCGUUGUCCGGACUGACUGGGCGUAAAGCGUGCGCAGGCGGUUCUGAAAGUCAGCUGUGAAAGCCCCGGGCUUAACCUGGGAAUGGCGGUUGAAACUACAGGACUAGAAUCUGGCAGAGGGGGGUGGAAUUCCACGUGUAGCAGUGAAAUGCGUAGAGAUGUGGAGGAACACCGAUGGCGAAGGCAGCCCCCUGGGCUGAGAUUGACGCUCAGGCACGAAAGCGUGGGGAGCAAACAGG